CCCGCCCCUCCCCUGCCUCCCUCGUCCUGCCACGUGCAAGCCAGUACCGCGAAUACAGCUCUGAGCUUCCAAAAGCAGCAUUUGCAUGUCAUUUUGGGAAGGAGAAUGAGGGAAUAACAGGUUUCCAUCGAGCGAAGCAGCAGAGGGUGUUAGCGAGGCAGCAAGAAGCCCGCACCCGAGACACGGGAAGCGUCCAGGCUGGAAGCCCUGUCCAGAACAGCCCCGUUUUCCUCCCGGCGUUAUUAGCCCAAGGAGGGAAAAAUCCAGCCCACAACGCCGACUUUUCUGGGGCUCCACGUUUUGACAAAAGCAGCUCAGGGAAAGUUCCUGCUGCUCGUCCGCAAGGGGCGAGAGGCAGAGGACGUAAAGGAGCUCGUGCCGAGCAGCCCAGCAGCGGUCCUGCCCGCAGCUGCAGGCUGGGCCAGGACGAACAGCCGAGAAGGAAGCGCAGCUGCGAAGGUUUGGGGACCCACCGCACCCUUUGGAAGCUCUGCCAGUGGUUACCCACCCCUGCUACUAAAAAAAGGGAGGGGGGAAAAAAAAAGAAGAGAAGAAAAGGUCCCGUAUUCCUGGUCUCAGCUUGUCUAACCUCAGCUUCCAUCACUGGCCCUUGCUCUGCCCUAAAUUUCCAGCUCGCGGUUUCCCAGCACAAUGGCCAGGGGAAUGAAAGAAGAAAAGAAGGAACUGGAAGAAAUUCAACUGUUAUCGCAGCCGCAGCAAGCAGGAGCCUUCUCUGCCGAGCCUCACGCACCUGAGCCUUUCGUGACGGAUACUGUACGUCAAGCUCCUGGAAAACUCGCCGAUGACUUACAGCAGUUUAUCACUGUCGUGCAUUUAGUUAACACUCUUAUUUUCACAGCGAACGUGUGAGGGGCUGAAAUAAGCUGUCAGUCAUGAAUAAAGAGGUCAUCAACUUAAAAAGGCUGAGACACGCCGGACCAGGGCACAUCUUUCAGGUGCGCUAUUGCAGGGCGAGCGAGAAGCCCCGCUAGAUACCAACCGUUUCCAGUUUGCGUUUCUCUUGCUGCGGCUUCCAGCCCCUGGAAGGGGUCUGCGCAU
This 1059-nucleotide long non-coding RNA is filed under the name Struthio camelus australis. RNAcentral describes it as "lncRNA (ENSSCUG00000003746.1)". The record is from RNAcentral. Lineage: Eukaryota; Metazoa; Chordata; Aves; Struthioniformes; Struthionidae.